This 408-nucleotide ribosomal RNA is filed under the name Triticum aestivum (bread wheat). RNAcentral describes it as "partial small subunit ribosomal RNA". Lineage: Eukaryota; Viridiplantae; Streptophyta; Magnoliopsida; Poales; Poaceae. The record is from RNAcentral.
AUGCGUUCCCCAACUGGGGAGGUUAUCUUUGGAGGGGAAACUAUGCGUUUUUGGGACCUUCGUGCUCCAUGGUUAGAACCUCUAAGGGGACCCAACGGUUUGGACUUGAGUAGGUUGAAAAAAGACAUACAACCUUGGCAAGAACGACGCUCAGCAGAAUAUAUGACCCACGCUCCUUUAGGCUCUUUAAAUUCCGUGGGUGACGUAGCUACCGAGACCAAUGCAGUUAAUUAUGUCUCUCCUAGAAGUUGGUUAUCAACUUCUCAUUUUGUUCUAGGAUUCUUCUUUUUUGUGGGCCAUUUAUGGCAUGCAGGAAGAGCCCGAGCUGCUGCAGCAGGUUUUGAAAAGGGAAUCGAUCGUGAUUUGGAACCUCCGAGCCAUUCAUUCCUUUUUAUGAAAGAAAGAUAA